Long non-coding RNA from Esox lucius (northern pike), 1100 nucleotides. The record is from Ensembl. Lineage: Eukaryota; Metazoa; Chordata; Actinopteri; Esociformes; Esocidae.
GGAAUAUACCCAAAGUGACGUUUUUAGCAGCUCAUUUGUGUGGGGAAGACCACAUUGCCCGACACAAUGACAUGAUGACAUGCGAGCAGGCCUGCAAGUUCUUGAAUACCAUCCCAUGCUAUGCAGACGUUUUUGAUCUAUGCACGGUUACCAUGGAAGAAUCAGGUUUAGGCUUUCCAAACUGGAGAUCAGAAGCACUUGAAUUAAACAGCUUAAUAGGGACAUUCUUCAUCCCCAAUUGUUAAAGUUGUGUGUGUGUGUGUCUGUGUCUGUGUGUGUGUGUACCUAUUUGAAGGAAAGAUCCAGAAGGGCCCCCUCACCAUCUGCAACCAUGAGCACUCAGGUGCGGAAGAGAAGAUUGUAGCAGAGCUGCGAGAAGGUGUAUGACCCCCUGGCCCCAGACUUCCACUUGCAGGCCCUGAUUCGCACAGCUGGCAAGUUGGUAUGCCUCAAAGACGCCGGCCACAAGGUGCAAUGCCACUGUAAUGGCUUGUCCAAAGUUGUAAAACUGUACCAUUUGAACUCCUAUGAGAGGGCAAUUCUGGACAUGGCCAGCCUAAAGCUGUCCCUGAACCAUGCCGUGCUACAGAACAUUAGUGGCAACAAGGAGAGCAACAUCAGUGGGAUCCAGCAGUUCUCCAAGAAAGUGUCUAUCCCACCAUCAUGGACGAUGAAACGAUCAGGGCAGCUGCUUCUGGGAGGAAGAUACUCGACCAGAUCCUGCAGCGCCGUGCCACCUCUUUCACCACCAAGAGAGGACAAGGGCUCCACUUUCUCUAAGGCCAGUUUAUGUUGCCUCUGAGAAUCGCAAUGACAUCACACUGGAUGAGCCAGAGGACAAACAUCCAACAGGCCUCUGCUGUCUGUUUCCAGAGCACCUUCUGAGACUGAUAGACACAAUGACACACAUGCUCAAAACAGGCCUCUUAAGGCAUGGGUGAAAUUGUUACUCUAUUGCCUACAUACACUCAUUCAGACACGCACUCACCAUCAAUGCGUGUGUAUUGAUCUGAGCGUCCUGAGAAGGGCCAGCAAUGGAAUGAGCUGUCUGAGUACUGAACACUUAAGAUGAUUUCCAGGACUGAUGCAGCACUAAUUGG